RNAcentral lists this ribosomal RNA (1478 nucleotides) under uncultured Bordetella sp. Its description in RNAcentral is "partial 16S-23S ribosomal RNA intergenic spacer". It matches the Rfam family "Bacterial small subunit ribosomal RNA". The record is from RNAcentral. Lineage: Bacteria; Pseudomonadati; Pseudomonadota; Betaproteobacteria; Burkholderiales; Alcaligenaceae.
GAGAGUUUGAUUCGGCUCGAUUAGACACUGGCGGGAUGCUUUACAUGCAAGUCGAACGGCAGCACGGGACUUCGGUCUGGUGGCGAGUGGCGAACGGGUGAGUAAUGUAUCCGGAACGGCGUGCUAGUAGCGGGGGAUAACUACGCGGCGUAGCUAAUACUGCAUACACCCUUCAAGGGAAGCGGGGACCUUCGGGCCCCGCACUAUUAAACGGCCCGAUAUCGGAUUAGCUAGUUGGAGUAACGGCUCACCAAGGCGACGAUCCGUAGCUGGUUUGAGAGGACGACCAGCCACGCACUGGGACUGAAUGCGGCCAGACUCUACGGGAGGUAGCAGGUGGGGAGUUACAGACAAUGCGGGAAGCCUGAUCAGCCAUCGCGUGUGCGAUGAAGGCCGGGUUGUAAAGCACUUUUGGCAGGAAAGAAACGGCACGGGAUAAUACCCGAUGCAACUGACCGACACCUGCAGAAUAAGCACCGGCUAACUACGUGCCAGCAGCUUAGCGAUAAUACGUAGGGUGCAGAAAGUUAAUCGGAAUUACUGGGGCGUAAAGCGUGCGCAGGCGGUUCGGAAAGAAAGAUGUGAAAUCCCAGGCUUAACUGGAACUGCACUGUUUCCGCUACCGAGCUAGAGUGUGUCAGAGGGAGGUGGAAUUCCGCGUGUAGCAGUGAAAUGCGUAGAUAUGCGGGAGAACACCGAUGGCGAAGGCAGCCUCCUGGGAUAACACUGGCGCUCAUGCACGAAAGCGUGGGGAGCAAACAGGAUUAGAUGCCCUGGUAGUCCACGCCGCCCCUAAACGAUAAUAAUAAUGUUGGACCUUCAAGACUGGUAGCGCAACUAACGUGAAGUUGACCAUACAGAAUACGGUCGCAAGAUUAAAACGCUCAAAGGAAUUGACGGGGACCCGCACAAGCAGUGGAUGAUGUGGAUUAAUUCGAUGCAACGCGAAAAAACCUUACCUACCCUUGACAUGUCUGGAAUCCCGAAGAGAUUUGGGGAGUGCUCGCAAGGGGCGAACCGCAGGUACCAUGGCUGUCGUCAGCUCGUGUCGUGAGAUGUUGGGUUAAGUCCCGCAACGAGCGCAACCCUUGUCAUUAGUUGCUACCCGAAAGGGCCACUCUAAUGAGACUGCCGGUGACAAACCGGAGGAAGGUGGGGAUGACCGUCAAGUCCUCAUGGCCCUUAUGGGUAGGGCUUCACACGUCAUACAAUGGAUGGGGACAGAGGUCGCCAACCCGCGAGAGGAGACCAAUCAGAAACCCCGAUCGUAGUCCGGAUAUAGUCACAAAUCAGUGACUGCGUAUGGAGAGUCGGUCGCUAGUAAUCGCGGAUCAGCAUGUCCGCGGUGGGCCACGUUCGGUUGUAUGCACCUGCCGUACACUACAUGGGUGGUUUUACCAGAGUAGUUAGCUAACCGUAAGGGAGGGCGAUUACCACGGUAGGAUUCAUGAUAUGACUGGGCAAAGUCGUAAGGCCAA